RNAcentral lists this ribosomal RNA (404 nucleotides) under uncultured eukaryote. Its description in RNAcentral is "SSU rRNA". It matches the Rfam family "Eukaryotic small subunit ribosomal RNA", at positions 567 to 972 of the family's 1831-position model. The record is from RNAcentral.
CCAGCAGCUGCGGUAAUUCCAGCUCCAAUAGCGUAUAUUAAAGUUGUUGCAGUUAAAAAGCUCGUAGUUGGAUCUCGGGUACUAGCAUGUGGUACGCAUAACUGCUGUUACUACAUGUCUGGUCCUAAUCAAUCGGUUGGCCGUUGAUGUCCUUCAUUGGGUGUUUUCGGUAGCCGGUACGUUUACUUUGAGAAAAUUAGAGUGCUUAAAGCAGGCUUGAGGCCUGAAUAAUGUUGCAUGGAAUAAUAGAAUAGGACCUCGGUUCUAUUUUGUUGGUUUUGUAGAGCAUUGAGGUAAUGAUUAAUAGGGACAGACGGGGGCAUUCGUAUUGCGGUGUUAGAGGUGAAAUUCUUGGAUCGCCGCAAGACGAACAACUGCGAAAGCAUUUGCCAAGAAUGUUUUCA